This 253-nucleotide ribosomal RNA is filed under the name uncultured bacterium. Its description in RNAcentral is "partial 16S ribosomal RNA". It matches the Rfam family "Bacterial small subunit ribosomal RNA", at positions 524 to 776 of the family's 1533-position model. The record is from RNAcentral.
UACGUAGGGUCCGAGCGUUGUCCGGAAUUAUUGGGCGUAAAGGGCUCGUAGGCGGUCUGUCGCGUCGGGAGUGAAAACUUACAGCUUAACUGUGAGCGUGCUUCCGAUACGGGCAGACUUGAGGUAUUCAGGGGAGAACGGAAUUCCUGGUGUAGCGGUGAAAUGCGCAGAUAUCAGGAGGAACACCGGUGGCGAAGGCGGGUCUCUGGGCCGAUAUUGACGCUGAGGAGCGAAAGCGUGGGGAGCGAACAGG